Molecule: ribosomal RNA, 468 nt
Filed under: uncultured bacterium
Lineage: Bacteria
Description: partial 16S ribosomal RNA
Rfam family: Bacterial small subunit ribosomal RNA
Source: RNAcentral
GACGAACGCUGGCGGCGUGCUUAACACAUGCAAGUCGAACGGAAAGGCCCUGCUUUUGUGUGGUGCUCGAGUGGCGAACGGAUGAGUAUCACGUUAGUAACCUGCCCUCUACUUGGUGAUAACUUCAGAAAACUGGGGAUACUACCGGAUAGGUGCUCCUGCUGCAUGGGGGGGGUUGGAAAGUUUCGGCGGUUGGGGAUGGACUCGCGGCUUAUCAGCUUGUUGGUGGGGUAGUGGCUUACCAAGGCUUUGACGGGUAGCCGGCCUGAGAGGGUGACCGGCCACAUUGGGACUGAGAUACGGCCCAGACUCCUACGGGAGGCAGCAGUGGGGAAUAUUGCACAAUGGGCGGAAGCCUGAUGCAGCAACGCCGCGUGCGGGAUGACGGCCUUCGGGUUGUAAACCGCUUUCGCCUGUGACGAAGCGUGAGUGACGGUAAUGGGUAAAGAAGCACCGGCUAACUACGUG